GAUGAACGCUGGCGGCGUGCCUAAUACAUGCAAGUCGAGCGAACGGACGAGAAGCUUGCUUCUCUGAUGUUAGCGGCGGACGGGUGAGUAACACGUGGAUAACCUACCUAUAAGACUGGGAUAACUUCGGGAAACCGGAGCUAAUACCGGAUAAUAUUUUGAACCGCAUGGUUCAAAAGUGGAAGACGGUCUUGCUUUCACUUAUAGAUGGAUCCGCGCUGCAUUAGCUAGUUGGUAAGGUAACGGCUUACCAAGGCAACGAUGCAUAGCCGACCUGAGAGGGUGAUCGGCCACACUGGAACUGAGACACGGUCCAGACUCCUACGGGAGGCAGCAGUAGGGAAUCUUCCGCAAUGGGCGAAAGCCUGACGGAGUAACGCCGCGUGAGUGAUGAAGGUCUUCGGAUCGUAAAACUCUGUUAUUAGGGAAGAACAUAUGUGUAAGUAACUGCGCACAUCUUGACGGUACCUAAUCAGAAAGCCACGGCUAACUACGUG
Molecule: ribosomal RNA, 497 nt
Filed under: uncultured bacterium
Lineage: Bacteria
Description: partial 16S ribosomal RNA
Rfam family: Bacterial small subunit ribosomal RNA
Source: RNAcentral